Gallus gallus (chicken) is the source of this 574-nucleotide long non-coding RNA. Lineage: Eukaryota; Metazoa; Chordata; Aves; Galliformes; Phasianidae. The record is from Ensembl.
GGGAUUUUUCCUGGCUGUAGGAUUGUUGCUUCUUCUCUUGUAGGCAGAAGCCCAGUUGCACAGCACAUACAGGGUGCUCACUGGGAAACCUAAAGCCACUUGUGUCCUAGUGAUUCUCUGGGAAGAGGAACAAACCAAGGACUGCCUGUCUUCUGUGCAUUCCUGAUCAGGCCUGCAAGAAGGCAGCUAUAACUGAUACAACACAUAAAGGAGAAGCAGGAUGCCUAAAGGAUGUUGUGGAAGUCAGGCUGGGACUGCGAAUCUGCUGGCCUUUUUCCACUGGACACAACAGUAGCCAAGAUGCUAGACCCCUUGGCAUGACACACAGCCAUGGCCUCAGCCCUUACCCAAGGUCACAAGGUGGGCCGGUUCCCUAUGGUGGGCUCUGCACUCACAGCUCUGCAGCCCAGUGUACCAACAGCGCUCAGCUCCCAUGGCGGUGAGAGGCGUUAGCUAAUUAAACCUUCCCUCAUCUGUGGGAGAGAGAGAAAACCACAAUGGAGAAGUGAGCAAAGGGUGCUGUGUUCCUCUAAAAGCAGCCAAGGGCCCUCUCGGAUGGUUUCAGGCUUUGAAG